UGUCAUUUCUUUUUCUGUUCUAGCCUUUGGCCUACAAUGAUCUGCAGGGUGUACACUGAUGCUAUCAGACAGCUCAGCAGGAACUGGUCACACCUUCUCUGGGGGCAUUUCCUUCAAACCACAGCAUCCUUUAAGAGGGGUCCCUUUGAUUGCAAGGAACCUGUCCGUUCUUCUGAGGACUCUGUGACCAUCCAUCUCCUUAUCCAUCUUCAAGCAAACAACUACUUUCUCAGAAGCAAUACAUCCAUCUCUGAACAGCAGCUUCAAGGCCCAGUAAUGUGGCAGAGAACCCUGCUUUCCAGAGAAGGAUCCUGGGGGUUCAAACUGCAUGGGACUCAGAAGUCAUGCUACAAGCCAACGCUGCAAACAGCUGAACUCAUGGCUCCAACAUCAGGACAUGGGAUCCAUGUGGCAGGCUGGACUACAUCUCUGCUCUGAAGAGCACUUCUCCAAAAUGGUUUAGACAUGGAAUUCGAUCAUUUUUCAC
Zonotrichia albicollis (white-throated sparrow) is the source of this 487-nucleotide long non-coding RNA. Lineage: Eukaryota; Metazoa; Chordata; Aves; Passeriformes; Passerellidae. The record is from Ensembl.